This 321-nucleotide long non-coding RNA is filed under the name Carica papaya (papaya). Its description in RNAcentral is "long non-coding RNA (CPAP_LNC013897)". Lineage: Eukaryota; Viridiplantae; Streptophyta; Magnoliopsida; Brassicales; Caricaceae. The record is from RNAcentral.
AAUGGUGAAAAUGUAUGUGAAUUGAUAAUAGAUAAUGUCGACAGCCUCACUAGAUAUCCUAGGAGAUGGUGGACGGACCGGGUCUAUAGGAAACCCUACCGGGAAUGUGGUCUCUCAUAUUGGACGGGGUAUGGAGACUUUAUAUGUUUUGGCGCCCAUACCAGACGGGGUAUGGGGAUGGGCCCGUUUCACCCUUAUACCGGACAGGGUAUUGUGGUUUAUGGUUUUGGCGCCCAUACUGGACGGGGUAUGGCGACGGCCUUGAAAUUAAGUUAUUAAUGUGAAUAGUUUACGUGUAGCGGGGACUCCCUAUGGAUCCCC